This 222-nucleotide ribosomal RNA is filed under the name uncultured bacterium. RNAcentral describes it as "partial 16S ribosomal RNA". It matches the Rfam family "Bacterial small subunit ribosomal RNA", at positions 109 to 334 of the family's 1533-position model. The record is from RNAcentral.
AGUAAUGUCUGGGAAACUGCCUGAUGGAGGGGGAUAACUGCUGGAAACGGUAGCUAAUACCGCAUAACGUCGCAAGACCAGAGAGGGGGACCUUCGGGCCUCUUGCCAUCGGAUGUGCCCAGAUGGGAUUAGCUAGUAGGUGGGGUAACGGCUCACCUAGGCGACGAUCCCUAGCUGGUCUGAGAGGAUGACCAGCCACACUGGAACUGAGACACGGUCCAG